AUUGAACGCUGGCGGCAGGCUUAACACAUGCAAGUCGAGCGGGGUGAUGGUGCUUGCACUAUCACUUAGCGGCGGACGGGUGAGUAAUGCUUAGGAAUCUGCCUAUUAGUGGGGGACAACAUCUCGAAAGGGAUGCUAAUACCGCAUACGUCCUACGGGAGAAAGCAGGGGAUCACUUGUGACCUUGCGCUAAUAGAUGAGCCUAAGUCGGAUUGGCUAGUUGGUGGGGUAAAGGCCUACCAAGGCGACGAUCUGUAGCGGGUCUGAGAGGAUGAUCCGCCACACUGGGAAUGAGACACGGCCCAGACUCCUACGGGAGGCAGCAGUGGGGAAUAUUGGACAAUGGGGGGAACCCUGAUCCAGCCAUGACGCGUGUGUGAAGAAGGCCUUAUGGUUGUAAAGCACUUUAAGCGAGGAGGAGGCUCUUUUGGUUAAUACCCAAGAUGAGUGGACGUUACUCGCAGAAUAAGCACCGGCUAACUCUGUGCCAGCCGCCGCCGUAA
This 503-nucleotide ribosomal RNA is filed under the name uncultured bacterium. Its description in RNAcentral is "partial 16S ribosomal RNA". It matches the Rfam family "Bacterial small subunit ribosomal RNA", at positions 30 to 523 of the family's 1533-position model. The record is from RNAcentral.